UUAAGCGACUAAGCGUACACGGUGGAUGCCCUGGCAGUCAGAGGCGAUGAAGGGCGUGCUAAUCUGCGAUAAGCGCCGGUAAGGUGAUAUGAACCGUUAUAACCGGCGAUACCCGAAUGGGGAAACCCAGUGUGACUCGUCACACUAUCAUUAACUGAAUCCAUAGGUUAAUGAGGCGAACCGGGGGAACUGAAACAUCUAAGUACCCCGAGGAAAAGAAAUCAACCGAGAUUCCCCCAGUAGCGGCGAGCGAACGGGGAGGAGCCCAGAGCCUGAAUCAGCAUGUGUGUUAGUGGAAGCGUCUGGAAAGGCGCGCGAUACAGGGUGACAGCCCCGUACACAAAAGCGCAUGUGCUGUGAGCUCGAUGAGUAGGGCGGGACACGUGGUAUCCUGUCUGAAUAUGGGGGGACCAUCCUCCAAGGCUAAAUACUCCUGACUGACCGAUAGUGAACCAGUACCGUGAGGGAAAGGCGAAAAGAACCCCGGCGAGGGGAGUGAAAAAGAACCUGAAACCGUGUACGUACAAGCAGUGGGAGCCCCACCACCAAAGCGUUUCGCUUUGUGUGGUGCACAAAGAAGCGUAACGACAGCACUGAAUGACGGUUAACGGAGCGCAAGCGACGUUCAACAUACAAAGUCAAGCAGUGGAGCGCUUUGGGGUGGGGUGACUGCGUACCUUUUGUAUAAUGGGUCAGCGACUUAUAUUCUGUAGCAAGGUUAACCGAAUAGGGGAGCCGGAGGGAAACCGAGUCUUAACCGGGCGUUAAGUUGCAGGGUAUAGACCCGAAACCCGGUGAUCUAGCCAUGGGCAGGUUGAAGGUUGGGUAACACUAACUGGAGGACCGAACCGACUAAUGUUGAAAAAUUAGCGGAUGACCUGUGGCUGGGGGUGAAAGGCCAAUCAAACCGGGAGAUAGCUGGUUCUCCCCGAAAGCUAUUUAGGUAGCGCCUCGUGAAUUCAUCUCCGGGGGUAGAGCACUGUUUCGGCUAGGGGGCCAUCCCGGCUUACCAACCCGAUGCAAACUGCGAAUACCGGAGAAUGUUAUCACGGGAGACACACGGCGGGUGCUAACGUCCGUCGUGAAGAGGGAAACAACCCAGACCGCCAGCUAAGGUCCCAAAGUCAUGGUUAAGUGGGAAACGAUGUGGGAAGGCCCAGACAGCCAGGAUGUUGGCUUAGAAGCAGCCAUCAUUUAAAGAAAGCGUAAUAGCUCACUGGUCGAGUCGGCCUGCGCGGAAGAUGUAACGGGGCUAAACCAUGCACCGAAGCUGCGGCAGCGACGCUUAUGCGUUGUUGGGUAGGGGAGCGUUCUGUAAGCCUGUGAAGGUGGCCUGUGAGGGUUGCUGGAGGUAUCAGAAGUGCGAAUGCUGACAUAAGUAACGAUAAAGCGGGUGAAAAGCCCGCUCGCCGGAAGACCAAGGGUUCCUGUCCAACGUUAAUCGGGGCAGGGUGAGUCGACCCCUAAGGCGAGGCCGAAAGGCGUAGUCGAUGGGAAACGGGUUAAUAUUCCCGUACUUGGUGUUACUGCGAAGGGGGGACGGAGAAGGCUAUGUUGGCCGGGCGACGGUUGUCCCGGUUUAAGCGUGUAGGUGUGUGUUCCAGGUAAAUCCGGUUCACUUUAACACUGAGGCGUGACGACGAGGCACUACGGUGCUGAAGCAACAAAUGCCCUGCUUCCAGGAAAAGCCUCUAAGCAUCAGGUAACAUCAAAUCGUACCCCAAACCGACACAGGUGGUCAGGUAGAGAAUACCAAGGCGCUUGAGAGAACUCGGGUGAAGGAACUAGGCAAAAUGGUGCCGUAACUUCGGGAGAAGGCACGCUGACACGUAGGUGAAGUGAUUUACUCAUGGAGCUGAAGUCAGUCGAAGAUACCAGCUGGCUGCAACUGUUUAUUAAAAACACAGCACUGUGCAAACACGAAAGUGGACGUAUACGGUGUGACGCCUGCCCGGUGCCGGAAGGUUAAUUGAUGGGGUCAGCGCAAGCGAAGCUCCUGAUCGAAGCCCCGGUAAACGGCGGCCGUAACUAUAACGGUCCUAAGGUAGCGAAAUUCCUUGUCGGGUAAGUUCCGACCUGCACGAAUGGCGUAAUGAUGGCCAGGCUGUCUCCACCCGAGACUCAGUGAAAUUGAACUCGCUGUGAAGAUGCAGUGUACCCGCGGCAAGACGGAAAGACCCCGUGAACCUUUACUAUAGCUUGACACUGAACAUUGAGCCUUGAUGUGUAGGAUAGGUGGGAGGCUUUGAAGUGUGGACGCCAGUCUGCAUGGAGCCGACCUUGAAAUACCACCCUUUAAUGUUUGAUGUUCUAACGUGGACCCGUUACCCGGGUUGCGGACAGUGUCUGGUGGGUAGUUUGACUGGGGCGGUCUCCUCCUAAAGAGUAACGGAGGAGCACGAAGGUUGGCUAAUCCUGGUCGGACAUCAGGAGGUUAGUGCAAUGGCAUAAGCCAGCUUGACUGCGAGCGUGACGGCGCGAGCAGGUGCGAAAGCAGGUCAUAGUGAUCCGGUGGUUCUGAAUGGAAGGGCCAUCGCUCAACGGAUAAAAGGUACUCCGGGGAUAACAGGCUGAUACCGCCCAAGAGUUCAUAUCGACGGCGGUGUUUGGCACCUCGAUGUCGGCUCAUCACAUCCUGGGGCUGAAGUAGGUCCCAAGGGUAUGGCUGUUCGCCAUUUAAAGUGGUACGCGAGCUGGGUUUAGAACGUCGUGAGACAGUUCGGUCCCUAUCUGCCGUGGGCGCUGGAGAACUGAGGGGGGCUGCUCCUAGUACGAGAGGACCGGAGUGGACGCAUCACUGGUGUUCGGGUUGUCAUGCCAAUGGCACUGCCCGGUAGCUAAAUGCGGAAGAGAUAAGUGCUGAAAGCAUCUAAGUACGAAACUUGCCCCGAGAUGAGUUCUCCCUGAGACUUUAGGUCUCCUGAAGGAACGUUGAAGACGACGACGUUGAUAGGCCGGGUGUGUAAGCGCAGCGAUGCGUUGAGCUAACCGGUACUAAUGAACCGUGAGGCUUAACCUU
Molecule: ribosomal RNA, 3019 nt
Filed under: Salmonella enterica subsp. enterica serovar Weltevreden
Lineage: Bacteria; Pseudomonadati; Pseudomonadota; Gammaproteobacteria; Enterobacterales; Enterobacteriaceae
Description: bacterial LSU rRNA
Rfam family: Bacterial large subunit ribosomal RNA
Source: RNAcentral